UCGAAAACAAGCCGAUGAUCUGGCCAGCUGAUGAAAUCUCAUUUAUUUCAAGUUGUCAGUGAUGAGAUUUAAGGGAGGGAUUGGGGCGGAAUAGGGCUUUCGUCUCGGACAUCGGAAUUAAAGAAACACUAUCCGCCUUAGGGCGAGAACAAAGAAUGUGUUGCCUCCUGAAGAAGAGGAAGCCCUGGUUAAAAUGUGAUCGAUUCUCCAACUAUCAUCCGUAUCCUUGGAAUUAGAAGCUCCUGCUCAAAGACCCAUUCAAACGCUUCCAGUGAAAGAAUAUUGCCUUAAAAAGAUAUCAGGAAAUUUGGAAUCACAACACGUGAACAACAAAAGUUGGUUGUGGUUUUUAUAGGUCUUCGCAUAAUGUUCCUUGUCUGUGGUUGAUGUGUAGUGAGUGGCUUCAGCGAGGCGCAGAUAACCCUAGUGCCAAGCCAGCAACCAACCAACUAAGAACCAUCAAACACAAGCCCAUCAAUAUUGAUUCAUGGAAUACCCUCAGCCAUGACUGCUCAGUAUGAGGAGUCAAAACACAGACACAGAGAAAGAUAGAAAGAAAUGAGCCAAUUUCUACUGAACAGGGCGCUUCAAUCCAUCCCCGUGUUUUGCAUGAGGAUCAUCAUGAUUUGCCAGCAUCUCAAAAGUUCUGAGUAUCGUUCCUCUUUCGUCGAGGAAUGUGAGCAAUUAACAUUCACCACCCUGUAUGUAGUAUGGUAUAUGCUACACCAAAGAGGAGGAGAUUCAAGCCAGCAACAGUAUAAAUGAAGCUCAAUUUUAAGGUUCAUUAAGCAUUUCUGGAGAAUGGGAUGGGCGUGCAUUCCUUCACUCGUUCGUUGGGAUCAUCAUCAACGUGGUCGUCGUCGUCGUCGUUGUCGUCGCCCCUCUCCUCCUCGAUCCUCCCGAGGGCAAUUAAUUAACAUGGACCACGAUCCUUCGGUGACAGACCAUCAUUUUCGCUUGGCUCCAAAUAUUUGGCAGCUCCAUCAUCCCUUCGUCCAUCGAGCCAUCCCUCCAUCCAUCUACCACUCGUUCCUUCCUCUGUCGAACCUAGGAGAAGAUGCUCUCAUUGGGAAAAAAUGAGCCAAGGUUCAAUUCGGCCAUUGUUUUUUCCUUCUCUCUCUCUCUCCUUCAGCCUCGCCGGCAUAUUUCACGUGGCUUGUUUGGCUUGGAGUGUGGAACUCUCGUGCUCCUCAAGUGGUUGGUUGACUAGAAAACGCUUUAAUGAAGACGAAAUUAUUGAAGCACGUUUGGAAGUCCAGAGACGCCACGGCCUCAUUUAUCAUCCUGGAAUCUUGCUCAUAUUUCUCUGACUUGUGUAUUUGCAUAUGAAUUUUUCCAGGCUUUAAUGAAGAUCUUUCUUUACGAA
Long non-coding RNA from Tigriopus californicus, 1366 nucleotides. RefSeq lists it as uncharacterized. Lineage: Eukaryota; Metazoa; Arthropoda; Copepoda; Harpacticoida; Harpacticidae. The record is from RefSeq and is a predicted model, not a curated record. The transcript has 3 exons.